UGUCAUAUAUUUUUUAAGAACAUGUCAUUUUCAACAUAUACUUCAAUAGGUUUUUCUUUUCCUUGAAGUAAAGACGUUAAUGUUUGUUUUCUCAUAGAGAUAAAUAGCUGAAUGAGUUGUUCAAAAAAAAAAAAAAAAAGCUCAAUGUACGUAUUUCUAUGCAAUUCUAAUGCUUUUCCAGUAAGUUACAUAUAUAUAUAUAUUAAAUUCAAUAAAAUGUAAUUAGCAAUUGUCAAUGAUUAAUUCAUAUUAAAAACUAGUAGAUAACUACAUAUAUUGCAUAUCAUAAAAAGCUCUUUGGAUGUAUAUUGAACUAACAAGAUAAUACUAUUGAUACAAACACAAAAAAAUGCUAUAAUUAUCACUAUUUUUAAUUGAUUAAACUUCCAAGUUUUUC
Molecule: long non-coding RNA, 397 nt
Filed under: Brassica rapa (field mustard)
Lineage: Eukaryota; Viridiplantae; Streptophyta; Magnoliopsida; Brassicales; Brassicaceae
Description: long non-coding RNA (BRAP_LNC005353)
Source: RNAcentral